GCACUACUGACGAGUCCCGAACAGGACGAAAUGAUUGUCCAGUGC
Non-coding RNA from Echinostoma caproni, 45 nucleotides. NCBI's taxonomy places the organism in Eukaryota, Metazoa, Platyhelminthes, Trematoda, Plagiorchiida, Echinostomatidae. The record is from Rfam.